AGCAUUCCUUAUUUUGUUCCU
This 21-nucleotide non-coding RNA is filed under the name Arabidopsis thaliana (thale cress). The record is from RNAcentral. Lineage: Eukaryota; Viridiplantae; Streptophyta; Magnoliopsida; Brassicales; Brassicaceae.